CCUACGGGGGGCAGCAGUGAGGAAUAUUGGUCAAUGGCCGGAAGGCUGAACCAGCCAUGCCGCGUGAAGGUCAGUGCCCUAUGGGCGUUAAACCUCUUUUGUGCGGGAGCAAUAAUGGUCACGUGUGGCCAGACGAGAGUACCGUAAGAAUAAGCAUCGGCUAACUCCGUGCCAGCAGGCGCGGUAAUAAGGGGGAUGCAAGCGUUAUCCGGGUUUAUUGGGGUUAAAGGGUGGGUAGGCUGGGAGGUAAGUCAGCGGUGAAAUGCCCCCGCUCAACGGGGUGAAGUGCCUUUGAUACUGCCUUGCUGGAGUGCAGAUGCGGUAGGAGGAAUGUGUGGUGUAGCGGUGAAAUGCAUAGAUAUCACACAGAACACCGAUUGCGAAGGCAUCUCACGAAUCCGCGAUUGACGCUGAUGCACGAAAGCGUGGGUAUCAAACAGGAUUAGAUACCCCGGUAGUC
This 460-nucleotide ribosomal RNA is filed under the name uncultured bacterium. Its description in RNAcentral is "partial 16S ribosomal RNA". It matches the Rfam family "Bacterial small subunit ribosomal RNA", at positions 338 to 795 of the family's 1533-position model. The record is from RNAcentral.